AUUAGCGUUUUUCACGCACGGAGAUUUUCGUGAGAUGUUCUCACUUCAAACAUUACUUUUGGGAGACAUCUUGUAUUGUACUUUUUAAAGUUAGGAGUUUUAGCAUUAUGAUAUUUGAUUAACAGUACACUGACAACACGGUUAUGGGGUGAGAUAGGAGACGUUUCGAGAUAUUUAUAGGACAUUUGGUUCCACAUACCUUAUGUUCAGUUAUAUUAUAGAACGACACAGUUGUGAUACUCGUGGAAUACACAUAUGAUGAAAAGA
Long non-coding RNA from Mya arenaria, 267 nucleotides. RefSeq lists it as uncharacterized. Lineage: Eukaryota; Metazoa; Mollusca; Bivalvia; Myida; Myidae. The record is from RefSeq and is a predicted model, not a curated record. The transcript is spliced from 3 exons.